This 93-nucleotide microRNA precursor is filed under the name Oryza brachyantha (malo sina). Its description in RNAcentral is "mir-393 microRNA precursor family". It matches the Rfam family "mir-393 microRNA precursor family". The record is from Rfam by way of RNAcentral. Lineage: Eukaryota; Viridiplantae; Streptophyta; Magnoliopsida; Poales; Poaceae.
UGAAGAAGCAUCCAAAGGGAUCGCAUUGAUCCCUUAUUCCUCCAUGGUGCAUGCCAUUAGUAAGGAUCAUGCGAUCCUUUAGGAUGCCUCCCC